CCUACGGGAGGCUGCAGUAAGGAAUAUUGGUCAAUGGACGAAAGUCUGAACCAGCCAUCCCGCGUGCAGGAUGAAAGCCCUAUGGGUUGUAAACUGCUUUUAGCAGAGAAGAAAAGCUUUCAUUAAUGAGAGUCUGACGGUAUCUGCAGAAUAAGCACCGGCUAACUCCGUGCCAGCAGCCGCGGUAAUACGGAGGGUGCGGGCGUUAUCCGGAAUAACUGGUGCGAAGGGGGGGGAUUAAGGAGGUUUAGAAAUCUUGUCGCUUAACGAUGAAAUUGCCAAUGAGACUGGUACUCUUGAAUUGGGUUGAGGUUAGCGGAAUGUGACAUGUAGCGGUGAAAUGCAUAGAUAUGUCAUGGAACACCAAUUGCGAAGGCAGCUAACUGGGCCUUGAUUGACGCUGAGGCACGAAAGCGUGGGUAGCGAACAGGAUUAGAUACCCUUGUAGUC
RNAcentral lists this ribosomal RNA (450 nucleotides) under uncultured bacterium. RNAcentral's name for it is "partial 16S ribosomal RNA". It matches the Rfam family "Bacterial small subunit ribosomal RNA", at positions 338 to 795 of the family's 1533-position model. The record is from RNAcentral.